AGCUGGAGGAAAAUAUUAAAAUGAUUUAUUAAAGCUGCAGUGAGAAACGUUUGCUUUGUGUUUGUUCUGGUGCCCCCUGUUGACAGUGAUGUUCUUUAUACAAAAACAUCAUCAUCCUGUUGUAUUGUAACAUUGAUAUAUAUCUUUUCCUGGGAGUAUUCAACACUGAAAAAAAUAAAAUGAUGUUUAUUCAGUCUGCUGUCAUUACCUGGUCUGAGAAAAACUUUUGAAGGUCUUAAUGAGGCAUCAGUAGUAGUUUCAGUCUGUUUCUCAACCAGUCAAAAAAAAAAAAACAUAGUGUCGUUAAAUCUUAUUCAAAUUGCAAAAAAAGGCAUGGUUAACAAAAAAAGUCACACUGAACCAUAUAUAAGCAAUUCUCCUUUUUCCUUGACAAAGUGGAAUCAUAUUAUAAGCAAAGAUGUGAACAUAAUGGUUCUGGAUACCCUUCUGAAUUGAUUAAAUUUUAACAAAGUGCCACGUGGUUGCUCUCCCUGUGUAAAAAAAAAAAAUAGUAAACAAAGUGGCCUCUUGAUGCCCAGCCAGUGGAAAGAGAGUUACCAAGUAUUCUCUGGAUGCCCAUCAAGUGGAUAACAGGUACACAAAGUACUCUCUGGAUGCACAACAGUUGAUAAAAUGUAAAUAGAGUGUCUUCUGGAUGACCUUCCUGGUGGUUUAAUGUAAACAAAGUGCUCUCUGGAGGCUGUUGCAGAGGUCAAAUGUGCACACACUGCACCUUAAAUACUCUUCAUUAGAUUAAAUGUAAAUAAGGUACCCUCUGGAUGCACACCAGUUGAUAAAAUGUAAAUAGAGUGUCUUCUGGAUGACCUUCCUAGUGGUUAAAUGUAAAUUAAGCACUUUCUGGAGGCUUUUGCAGCACAUAAAAUGUGCACACUCUGCAACUUGAAUACAAUUUAUUAGGUUAAAUGUAAACAAAGCUCUCUCUGGAUGCCCUUGUUUUCAGUGAAGCUUAAACCGGGUCCAUCCAAUGACCUCUUGAUUACAGAUUUAAGAGAGACAGAAAACUGCAAAGAUUUUAUAUGGUCUUUACUCCAAGUUGUUCUAUGUUUCUGCAUACAUGACAUACAGCAGACACCCUUUGUUUUCACCUUUGCCCCUUCAAUCAGCAUGAGUACAUCACACCUAUAUGUUCAUAACCAGAGAGAGCACCACAAGUACUUCAUCUACAUAUGAGACGGAUCUAAUUUGAAUCAAAAUCAACAGCCAACAAGUGGUUUUCUAUCAAACUAACAUGAGCACAGUCCUUCUGCUAGCUACAGUGCUAUAUAACCACGUCUUUAUCCUUUAAUGCCGGCCGCACAUUAGAGAAUAAUUGGGCAGAUUGUGGGUCGGAUUCACCACUUCUGAUAAUCCCGGGGGUGUUUUCCCGAUUCUAGGUUGGUCGCAACAGAUUGCCUGGCCAAAUGACCCUGUGGUGUGAGGAGUUUAGAGGAGUUUCAGAGAAUCAGAGCAAGCUAACAGCGUCACCACCGUCUGGACGUUACAAAACUCUUUAGAAUCAAUGUCGGCUCACACUGCAAAGUUAUAAAGCAUGCUGGAUCUGUUUUUAAGGUGUGACGACUCCCUUAGUUUGAAGGUGGCUCACACAGGUGCGUCCUUCUAUAACAGAUUGUGUAGCUUCCUAAUUUAGAGUGUGAUUAUUUCCAUUACAUACCUAUCCACACCACGAUGCACAGUUGAAAACACCCACAUAAGCAUGCUAGUCCGGUAUCUGCCCAGUGUUAAUUAAAGAACCUACAGUUCACAACGCAGUAAAACCAAACCAACAGAGUUAAAAAGGUCUAAAGGUCCCUGGUGAGGCAAGAAUACAUCAUGGAGUGGCUGAUUUUUUGCCUGUAGCCUCCUCUCCUCUUACAGUCGGCUCGUACAGUAGAGGCAGAACACCGCAGAAAGUACAGAUGUGAAUAUUUUAUAACUUAAUAUGAUACAAGAAGGAACAGGACACCGGGCCGAGAGGAGCUCCUUCCACCGAGCUGCAGACUCAACAGAGACCGGCUCAAACAGGCACUCCUCAUGUGAAGGGUCCUCUCUACGUAUAAUGAGAGCUCGACACUCAGAGCUGGAGACGUGGGUUUAUAAGUCCUUAUAAAGUCCAGAGUGUCUUUAAGGGUCUCGUCUGAGUCUGAUAAGAGCUGGGCUGGCUUAAAACCUGAACACCAAUUCCACAUACGAGUGUUUUCUGUCAUGCACUAACUCUGGUAGAAUUGGUGUUCAGCUUUUAUUCCAACAGUCCAUUUUUGAAACAAAAACAAACAGCCGGGUUCAAAAAAUGGUUUCCAUCUAGAAAGCUCAGUUCCGUCACAACAUCAACUACACAGGAAAUCUCUAUUUUUAAUACAACAGGCUUGUUUAAAGAUUUUAAGGUUUCAAGAUUGAUGAAUUGGAGGCCUGCCUCACUGUAGCUGUUUGGAAAGAGGCUAAAGGCUGGUUGGUUGGCCAGGAGUUAUGCUGCGUUCCAGUUGUACUCAGAAGUUGGAAUUUCCAAGCUCUUACCAACCCUGACUUGACGACAACGUCAUCAUCUAAGAUGGCAGUGCAGUGUAUCAACAGUGAAGAGUAACAGUGAAAGCUCUCGUAAUGUAUCAUUUAAUAGCAUUUUUGUUUUGUUUUUGUGAAAUUAAAUAAGUGGUAUAUGUUGUACUGCCCAACGUCUAACUGUGAACACGGUGCUAUGGUGUUUAUAAGAGUAAAAAACUGUGUUGUUUACAACUAGUAUCGCUAACAACAACUGCAAACCAUUAACGACAGCUGGCAAUUGUAAACAACAGCUAACAACGGCUAACUGUACAUGUCCAUCUUGGUUUCCGACUUAUUAACUGGAACGCCGUCAACUUGGGUGUAAUGUCAUUCCCAGCUCCUACUUCCGAAGUAACUGGAAUGCAGCAUUAGGUUGAGUCAGCUUAUCCAAUAUGGCAACCACCACCGAGUUGCUUCAAAUCUAUUACAUGCUUAUUUAGUUAUCCUCCCGAGUUCCUGCUCUGAGAACAUUUGAUGUUGAGGAUGAAUUUGAGCUGUGUUGGUUUUGCGAAGAACAACGAUAACUCCAGAGCAAAAAAAUAAAUGUUGUUAGUGUACACAGGCCCUAAGAGGACAAAUCACAGAACAGACAAACAAUCUUUUGCAGAUAAUACGCACAGAAAAACACAAAACCAAUGAAAAAGGAUUCAAAAACACUAGAACC
Molecule: long non-coding RNA, 3199 nt
Filed under: Xyrichtys novacula (pearly razorfish)
Lineage: Eukaryota; Metazoa; Chordata; Actinopteri; Labriformes; Labridae
Source: RNAcentral